UGAUGUCCAAAACAAAACAAACAAUGACUUAGAGUGCCCUCUGGUGGCUGUCAGUAGGCACACAAGCUGAUGGCUGUGACAUCAUUAAAAAGGUCAAAUAUCACACAUUCUGUCAUAUCAUUUCCUGUUUUAUGGUAUUCUUGUUGCAAAACUGCUCCCUCUCUGACUUUAUUAAUUUCUUUUUUAAGUAUUAUUAUUAAUUUAAAAUAGUGUUUUAAGAAUAAACACACUGUGGAGUACUGCUCAAUUUAGAGGACAUUAAAAACCAUAAGUAAAAAUUUUAACAACUCAUCAUCUUUUGCCAUUAGCUACAUUUACAUGGGCAACCUUUGUCUUAAUCAAAAUACAAUCAUUCUAAACGUAGUGUUUAUAUGACCGGAUGAAUGAAGUAAGUGGUGGUGACUGACACUUGUGAUCACCAAUCAGCAAAGAGUUUUUUUUUUCUAUUUUAGAGCUGGUUAGUUGCAGCUUGUGAUGCGUCACGUCCAGAGUCUCCCCUUUCUGUUGGUUUUGAGGGAGGCUUUAGUUGCUUCAGUAGAAGCUUUGUUUGGGGCUUGACGAUUGGCAGGUGGAGUAAUGUGCAGUUCCCUGUACUUCAGUUUAGCAGCGGGUUAUAUGAAGGCUGUGUAUCCUGGCCUGUGAACAGAUUAUAGAGCACAUUAUUCUUGUUUGGAUUCUCCCUUUUGUUCUGGUCGAUUAUUGUUGCAGCUCUGUCGUUUUUCUGCUGUCGUGCUGAAAGAAUGCUGUUACCUUGCAACUAAUAAAGGGAUUGCUGCUAUUUUUUUAUUUCUUUGAUUUCUAGUUAAUUUUCUUCGGGAUGGAGGAUUGUUUAUUUGAUGACCAGAGCUGGCGUACAGAAUUCGUGGAAGACAGAAUCCGCGUAGAGCAACCGCGUAGUUUGAACUGAGUUGUUUUUUUUUUUUCAUCUUUUUUCUUUUGAAAAUUUGUGUAUUAUUGAUUGUGAAGUAUGUUGUUGAUUUUUUUUUUUUUUUACCUAGCAUUGUUUGUUUUAUGCUGAAACUGUAACAUAAUUUCACUGUGAUUUUUAUUUACUUCUGUUUAUAAUUUUUUUUUGUUGUGUAAAUUAGUCUUUAUGUAACAUGUUUUCCUUUGGUUGUUUUUCUUUUUCUGUGUUUAUUCUUUGAAUUCUUUGCCAGUCACUGCCUCUUUAACAGUGAGUAUUUUAUAUAUAUAUAUAUAUAUAUAUAUAUAUAUAUAUAUAUAUAUAUAUAUAUAUAUAUUUGGAAUGCACAAUAAAUAUUGGAACGUUAUUUAAUGCGCAUCACAUCAGUAAAGCCGGAUCUGCAAUCAGCGAUAAAUCUCUACACGUGUGUGCUUCCACCUGGAGCAGCAUUU
Cyprinus carpio carpio is the source of this 1356-nucleotide long non-coding RNA. The record is from Ensembl. Lineage: Eukaryota; Metazoa; Chordata; Actinopteri; Cypriniformes; Cyprinidae.